This 21-nucleotide non-coding RNA is filed under the name Caenorhabditis elegans. Lineage: Eukaryota; Metazoa; Nematoda; Chromadorea; Rhabditida; Rhabditidae. The record is from RNAcentral.
UAAAACUUAUAUAUACGAUUU